GGGUCAGUAGGUUGGUCGUGCCACCGGUACGUACUGGUCUCACUGAUUCCUCCUUCCUGAAGAACGGUAAUGCCAUUAAUUUGGUGUUGCGGGGAAACAGGACUGUUACUUUGAAAAAAUUAGAGUGUUUAAAGCAGGCUAACGCUUGAAUACAUUAGCAUGGAAUAAUGAAAUAGGACGAUCGAUCCUAUUUUGUUGGUUUCUAGGAUUGACGUA
Molecule: ribosomal RNA, 216 nt
Filed under: Glomeromycotina sp.
Lineage: Eukaryota; Fungi; Glomeromycota
Description: partial small subunit ribosomal RNA
Rfam family: Eukaryotic small subunit ribosomal RNA (bases 40-216)
Source: RNAcentral